UUUAUAUUUUGAAUUUUUAUAAAAGACAGACUAUGAAUUACUAAUAUUGCUAAAAGUCUCACAUUCAAAUUUUGGGAUCCAUGGUUUAAAAUUUUUUAUGAAAAAAUACAAAUGAUUACAAAAUCAUAUAAAUAAAAGUCUAAAUUAAUUAAUUAUUAAGAUUAAAAUAUAUAUAUAUAUCAUUUUAAAUUAAACUAUAUACCGCAUAAAAUACAUAAAUAUUUUAAUUUUGAAAUUUACUUUGAAUAAUUUUUUUUGAUAAAAACUUUGAACCAACAUUGACAACUUAAUUUUAAAUAAAACUUAUUUAUAUAUAUAAUAUUUAUCCCAAUCAAGGUGCGGGUUUUAACCUAGUACAUAUAUUAUAUGGAGAUUAAACAUGAACCAGAUAGAAAUAUAAUACAAAACUUGAAACUGAAUACAAAACAAUACACCAAAGGAAUUAAGAAAUCGAAAUUUAAAUCAAAUCAGAUGCGACUUAGUUACAACACCAUGAGUGUUAGAAAUGAUAGAUUAUGAUGUGAGAGUAAUGAAGUAACAAAGUAUGGUUGAUUUCAAAAAAUAGAGAAUGAAGAGAACAAGUGAGAACGAGAGAGAGAGAGUAAAGAGAAAAUGAAGAAAGAGAACUCCUCUUUUCUUAGAUCUGAAAAGUAUCAUUACAAUAGAUUAUAAGAAAGAAAAAAAAAAAUAAACUAGAACUGUCUUACACAAGAUACCAAACACACUUAGCGGACUAAGGAAGCUACAAUAAAAUAUCUGUUUGUUUUUACUGUAGCUUUGCGUGUAAUGUUCAUGCUCGCUUGCUUAUUUUUCUUUGGCAAGCCUUGCUAACAUUGAUCUUGGCAGACCUUGCUGAAUAAAUAAUUCUUCCUUUUAUUUUCAUACUCAACAAUUUCUUCUUCGUUUCAUCCAUCAGUGAGAUUGUAAAAAAUAAAAGUUUCCAUUAUUUCACAUUAAAACGAUAUCCCUCCGAUUAAUUAACAUGUGUUUGUGUGGUCAUAUAAAUUGCUGAUUUUCUUAAAAGAAAUAUAUAUUACUCACUUUAAUACGUAAAUUUCUUAUACGUAUAUUACCCAUUGGGAAGUACACUGGCGAGAGGCGACGAUAUGUGGGCAAGCAUAUGGAGCAGGGCAACUAGAGAUGAUGGGGAUAUAUCUUCAAAAAUCUUGGAUCAUCCUUAACACGUUUUCCUUUCUUCUUAAUUUGCCUUUAUACGUUUCUGCCACUCCACUUUUGAGUCUCCUCGGACAGUCCCCAGCUGAGAUCUCCAAAGCCGCCCGAAGAUUCUCCCUCUGGGAUGAUCCCUCAGCUCUUUGCUUACGCCGUCAACUUCGCCAACCCCAAGUUCUUGCAGGCGCAAACCAAAGUGGUUGCAAUGGCGGCUAUAGCAGCGACCAUGCUGUUUUAGCAUGCUGUAUUGAGUUGAGUUGGUUACUGAUGCUGAAACUCGGUUGGGGAAUGGCUGGAGGAGCUGUCGGGCUGAAUAUGUCGUGGUGGUUGAUAGAUGGAGCUCAGAUAGUUUAUAUCUGUGGAGCUUUUUGUGGCAGAGCUUGGUCAGGGCUCUAAUGGAAGGCUUUCAAGAAUCUCAGAGGCUUCACAAAACUCUAACUUGCCUCUGCGGUCAUGGUUUGACUAGAGGUUUGGUACUUCAUGGCGUUGACUGUUUGCGUGUUACCCAAUGAACCCUCAAGUCUAUGUGGCUGCUCCUUCAAAUAUGCGUGAACAUACUCGGAUGGCCAAUCAUGGUGGCAUUUGGCUUGCUGUUAGGUACAUUACACAACCAGGACUGGAUCUGAAAUUUUGUGUGUACUUAAAGAUAAUUGUCGCAGAGAUGAUAUUGAGAUAAAACGUGAAGGUGAUACUAUUGAGGUGAUGAAAACAAUCAAAGUAGGAUCAUUGAAGCAUUGUAGUUUCGCUAUUAACAGAGUGCCUCUCAUCAUCAUUAGGAAAAAAAAUAUAUAUAUAAAAAUCUAACAUAAAAUGUGAUACUAAGGAACAUCUGACUGGUAACUAUUCGGGAAACAAAAAAAACAAACAGAAAAAUAAUGUACGAAACUAAAAUAGCAGCAAUGAAAAGAAAUGAUUGUUCCUUCUCAAAUUUAAAUAGGAAUAAUUUUAUUGUUCAAUUCUCUCAAAAAAAAAAAAAAAGAAUGAGAGGAAAUUAUUAUUA
This is a long non-coding RNA of Brassica napus (rape), 2170 nucleotides long. RefSeq lists it as uncharacterized. The transcript is spliced from 4 exons. NCBI's taxonomy places the organism in Eukaryota, Viridiplantae, Streptophyta, Magnoliopsida, Brassicales, Brassicaceae. The record is from RefSeq and is a predicted model, not a curated record.